AUACUUACCUAGCAAGGGAGAUACCAUGAUCACGAAGGUGGUUUUCCCAGGGCAAGGCUUAUCCAUUGCACUCCGGAUGUGUUGUCCCUUGCGAUUUUCCCAAAUGUGGGAAAGUUGACUACAUAAUUUGAGGUAGUGGGGGACUGCAUUCACGCUGUCCCCUG
This is a small nuclear RNA of Myotis lucifugus (little brown bat), 164 nucleotides long. Its record names the gene U1. It matches the Rfam family "U1 spliceosomal RNA". From Rfam's summary of the family: U1 is a small nuclear RNA (snRNA) component of the spliceosome (involved in pre-mRNA splicing). Its 5' end forms complementary base pairs with the 5' splice junction, thus defining the 5' donor site of an intron. The record is from Ensembl. NCBI's taxonomy places the organism in Eukaryota, Metazoa, Chordata, Mammalia, Chiroptera, Vespertilionidae.